UUUGCUCUAAGAGAUUCUACGUGUCACCAAAUGGUUGGGCGAGGAGAUAAUAUUUUUUUUGAUGGGCGACUGGUUUUUUUUCUUCCUCUUCCUCUCUCUGUCUCUCUCUCUCGAACUCGCGAAUUGACAAUCGAAGGAGAUGAAAUCAAAGGAGAUGGAAUCAGAGGAGAUUCGGGUCGGAGGAGAUGUGAAUCGGAGGACAUUGAAUCAGCAGAGGGUUGAAGGUGGCAUUCCACCACUCGUUGAGCUUCUAAAUUUUCACUGAAAUAAAGUACAGAGGGCUACUGCAGGGGCCUUGCGAACAGUUUCUUUUAGAAACGACGAGAACAAGAUCCAAAUUGUGCAGUUGAAUGCUUUGCCCACGCUUGUAUUGAUGCUUCAAUCUUCAGAUUCUUCUGUGCACGGUGAAGUUGUUAGUUCUUUAUCUUGCUUUGGAUUGUUGCAAUCGGUUUGCUUUGUUUCAGUUCCUUCUAAUCUACUGUGCACGGUGCACAUUGGCCAGAGAAUUGACAUUACACCCCUGAUUAAGAUGCUUGAAUCAUCAGAUGAGGUUAUAAGUUUAGUUGUGACAGAGAAAACUGUGAGUUAUAAGUUUUGUGUGUCUAAAUAACUGUGUGGGGCAUAAAAACUACAUCAGCUUUGUGUGUCUUAUGGCGGCAAGCUUUUUAUGGCUUAUAGCUGAAUUUGGAGUUGGUGUUGCUGUAUUUGUUCGAUGUUUCGUGGACCAAAAUGCAAUGGAACAUCUUAUAACUGAAAAGCUUGGGCUUGGUUUCUCCCGUCCUCCAUUUGCAGCUGUUGUGGUUGUUUGUACAACUCUCUCGUUCCUUCCUUUGAUCGGUUUUUUCGUAUGUUCUGUUCUAACGAACUGGAUUGGUUUGAAAUUAUGGAAGAUUAAUCUGAUUACUGGACCUGUUUUGCAAUCAUAUAGAGAUUUAUGAGAUACUUGUUUCAGUUGCAAGAAUUGGAUUCGAAGAUGUAGCCAUGGAUUCUUCUGGAACUGAUUCGGCUAAAGAAUUGCUUGUUGGUUUGGAUUCAACUACUGAGGAAGAGUAUGCAACACAGUCAAAGCUACUUAAAGAGUUCAUCAAUAUUCCCAGCAUUGACAAAGCUUCUUAGGCGAGGCAUUCCCUCUACCUGUUUACCUCUCUCUCUCUUACCCAUUACCAAUUAAGUUUCUCCCCUUUUUUGCAGGUCAAGUGUGCAGAACUCUUUCCCUCAAUCAUUGCAGCAUUUAAAAUACUUGCAGUGAUCUCUUCACGAAUGGGAGGUACCCAUGAGGGUGCAUUACAUUUGAUCGAAGGAGGAGGAGAAGUCGAUUCCGAAUAGUCUUGUCUAUUAGCCGUGCAAGGGGAGGGGCGGAGAUGGGGUCUUCACCGUGUUUGCGGUUAUUACGCCCUCUCCAUACGGAGUGGAUUGUCGUCUGGAAAAAAUACCUCAGAAAAAGCAGAGAGUGUUGGUCAAGUGUUGUCUGAAAGAAGCGUCCGAAGUUGAUCCCAAGUAGAAGUAGAGUGCCUCCAAAGGAACCCAGCUGUGAGUUGCGUCCAAAUUUGGUGAGAGUAGGGACAUUGGAAAAAUAAGUGGUUCCUUGUUUGCAGCGGGUCUUGACAGAAGACGCAAGCUGAAUCAACAUGCCUGUUCCAUUUCAACAUUCUGUCAACUGUAGAGAGUUUAUUGUGCAUUCCUAACCAUGUUAUAAACGCAAACUUUGGUGUGGCUUGGGAAAACCACACUCCUUUCUCCCAAUCGAAAACUGGUUGCUCCACUCGGAUGAGCUUCCAGAUGUCACAUGUCAGGAAUUUUUGUUUAAAGCCAGUUCGAGACUUCCAUAGGUUCACAUCUGCCAGAUCAGGUUGUCGUUGUGACUUUGCUGUUGCAAUCUCUGCUUCAACUUGGUUUAGAAUCUAAAGCCUAUGUCUUCUGCUUCUAUGAUUGGUAAAGAAUGUUUCAAUUGUUGCUGUUUUCAUAAUCCCCAGGUCUAUACACCCUCUAUUUCCGAGAACAUCAGCCAGCGUUCCCAUUGGAGACCAUCUGUCGUACCUGAAAGAAGUGCUCUGUUCAUUUUUGAUAUCCAUUUGAUGGAAGUUCUUUGCCACUUCCCUCAACUUGAGGAGUUUUCGACACAUCCAGGAUCCUUGAUAAGAUGUUGCUUUCAAAUCCCAAAAAGAAUCUUGACGGAUAAGAUAGGUAUGAACCCACUGUCCCCAUAAUGAUUUCUUAGCAGCUAGCAAUCGCCAAAUGAGCUUAAGACCACAGACUGUGUUUGUUUCCUUGAGUGGUCUGAGACCUAGACUACCCUCGCUUUUGGGAAGACAAUCGACCUGCCAAGAAACCUUCGCCUUAUGUAUAUUCAGAUUUGGCCCACUCCAGAGAGGAAAGCGGAGCAGAGCCCUUCAAUCUCCUUCAUACACUUUCCCUGUAACCGAAAAGCAGAGGACCAGAAGUUAACAAUGCUCAUAAGAACUGAUGGUAUGGGUUGCAGAUGACCUCCAUAUGAUAAGAAUCUGCUUGUCCAAGUACUAAAUCUGUUCCUAACCUUUUCAACCAGAGGUAGGUAGUCAUUACUUGUCAUUGCUUUUGGUUAUGAGAGGCAAACCAAGGUAACGCAAGGGUAGCAUACCCACCGCAAACGGGAAGUUUUCUCUGAUCUCUUCCUGUACUCUUUGUGACAUCCCAGCCAUGUAUAAGGUAGAUUGCUUUAGACAUU
Camelina sativa (false flax) is the source of this 2704-nucleotide non-coding RNA. NCBI's taxonomy places the organism in Eukaryota, Viridiplantae, Streptophyta, Magnoliopsida, Brassicales, Brassicaceae. The record is from RefSeq and is a predicted model, not a curated record.